GCAGCCGUCAUGUAGCUGUAGACACCAUCAUCUUAUAUAUAUAUAUAUUUUUUUUCUUACAUCUUUUCAACUUUUGAUUCUUAUUCGGCAAAUUAUUUUGUUUGAUCGUAGUUUGUAUUCGGAAUGGAUAUGGUGGAGGGGAUCUCAUGGUUAUGGUGGAGGGGAUCUCAUGGAGAUGGUCUAAUCUCUUGGUUUUGAUCGUGAUUUCUCUGUUUAAAUCGAACGGUAUAAUUUAUUUAUAAUUCGCUUGGGCAUAAACCUUCUUUAAAUAUGUCAGCGAAUUUCUUUGGUACGCAACCUUAAACUCCACAACCCUUUUCUAAGGAAUAUAUUUCGAGUUUGUUCCAAACAACCAACUUGAUUUCUAUCUUGCUACGGGAAAGCAAGCUGCAAACGACGACGAUGACAUUUUUGACAAGAAAGAUGAGGAUGACGCUGAGUAUUAAGUAUUAUCGACUUGUUUUCGGAUGUUAUUUUAAGACCUUAUCGCACAGAUACGUUUUAUGCGAUUUUAGUAUGUUAAGUGUUAUUUUAGUAUGUUAAGUGUUAUGUUUAUUUAGUUUGUUUGUGUUGCGUAAAACUAGAAAAUUGUCAGGUUUGUAUAUAACCGAAAAUAUUGAAAAUGCAUAUACAUAUUAAAUUGAAUGAAGUCAUAUGUUGUUGGAAUCAAA
This is a long non-coding RNA of Helianthus annuus (common sunflower), 671 nucleotides long. RefSeq lists it as uncharacterized. The record is from RefSeq and is a predicted model, not a curated record. The transcript has 2 exons. Lineage: Eukaryota; Viridiplantae; Streptophyta; Magnoliopsida; Asterales; Asteraceae.